RNAcentral lists this ribosomal RNA (377 nucleotides) under uncultured Planctomycetota bacterium. Its description in RNAcentral is "bacterial SSU rRNA". It matches the Rfam family "Bacterial small subunit ribosomal RNA", at positions 521 to 896 of the family's 1533-position model. Lineage: Bacteria; Pseudomonadati; Planctomycetota. The record is from RNAcentral.
UAAUACGAAGGUGGCAAGCGUUGUUCGGAAUCACUGGGCUUAAAGAGCAUGUAGGCGGGCCAUCAAGCGUCUUGUGAAAGCCCUCGUCUCAACCGAGGAAUUGCUAGGCGAACUGAUGGUCUUGAGGUAGGUAGGGGCGCGUGGAACUCUUGGUGGAGCGGUGGAAUGCGUAGAUAUCAAGAGGAACGUCGGCGGCGAAGGCGACGCGCUGGGCCUAUCCUGACGCUGAGAUGCGAAAGCUAGGGUAGCGAACGGGAUUAGAUACCCCGGUAGUCCUAGCCCUAAACGAUGUCCACUAGGUCGGAGUACUUCUGACAGUUUUCCGGUCGAAACGAAAGCGUUAAGUGGACCGCCUGGGGAGUACGGUCGCAAGGCUA